RNAcentral lists this ribosomal RNA (557 nucleotides) under Fusarium culmorum. RNAcentral describes it as "eukaryotic LSU rRNA". The stretch from base 205 to 358 matches the Rfam family "5.8S ribosomal RNA". The record is from RNAcentral. Lineage: Eukaryota; Fungi; Ascomycota; Sordariomycetes; Hypocreales; Nectriaceae.
UGGAAGGUUAAAGUCGUAACAAGGUCUCCGUUGGUGAACCAGCGGAGGGAUCAUUACCGAGUUUACAACUCCCAAACCCCUGUGAACAUACCUUAUGUUGCCUCGGCGGAUCAGCCCGCGCCCCGUAAAAAGGGACGGCCCGCCGCAGGAACCUUAAACUCUGUUUUUAGUGGAACUUCUGAGUAUAAAAAACAAAUAAAUCAAAACUUUCAACAACGGAUCUCUUGGUUCUGGCAUCGAUGAAGAACGCAGCAAAAUGCGAUAAGUAAUGUGAAUUGCAGAAUUCAGUGAAUCAUCGAAUCUUUGAACGCACAUUGCGCCCGCCAGUAUUCUGGCGGGCAUGCCUGUUCGAGCGUCAUUUCAACCCUCAAGCCCAGCUUGGUGUUGGGAGCUGCAGUCCUGCUGCACUCCCCAAAUACAUUGGCGGUCACGUCGAGCUUCCAUAGCGUAGUAAUUUACAUAUCGUUACUGGUAAUCGUCGCGGCCACGCCGUUAAACCCCAACUUCUGAAUGUUGACCUCGGAUCAGGUAGGAAUACCCGCUGAACUUAGCAUAUC